AACGAACGCUGGCGGCAUGCCUAACACAUGCAAGUCGAACGAGACCUUCGGGUCUAGUGGCGCACGGGUGCGUAACGCGAGGGAACCUGCCCUUAGGUUCGGAAUAACUCCCCGAAAGGGGUGCUAAUACCGGAUAAUGUCUUCGGACCAAAGAUUUAUCGCCUUUGGAUGGGCCCGCGUUGGAUUAGCUAGUUGGUAGGGUAAAAGCCUACCAAGGCGACGAUCCAUAGCUGGUCUGAGAGGAUGAUCAGCCACACUGGGACUGAGACACGGCCCAGACUCCUACGGGAGGCAGCAGUGGGGAAUAUUGGACAAUGGGCGAAAGCCUGAUCCAGCAAUGCCGCGUGAGUGAGGAAGGCCUUAGGGUUGUAAAGCUCUUUUAACCGGGAUGAUAAUGACAGUACCGGGAGAAUAAGCUCCGGCUAACUCCGUG
RNAcentral lists this ribosomal RNA (433 nucleotides) under uncultured bacterium. RNAcentral's name for it is "partial 16S ribosomal RNA". It matches the Rfam family "Bacterial small subunit ribosomal RNA", at positions 29 to 507 of the family's 1533-position model. The record is from RNAcentral.